GAAAUGCGAUAAGUAAUGUGAAUUGCAGAAUUCAGUGAAUCAUCGAAUCUUUGAACGCACAUUGCGCCCGCCAGUAUUCUGGCGGGCAUGCCUGUUCGAGCGUCAUUUCAACCAUCAAGCCCCAGGCUUGCGUUGGGUCCCUGCGGCUGUCCGCAGGCCCUGAAAUACAGUGGCGGGCUCGCUAGUCACUCCGAGCGCAGUAAUACAUCUCGCUCAGGGCGUGCGGCGGGUGCCGGCCGUGAAACAACCCCUUUUAAAGUUUGACCUCGGAUCAGGUAGGAAUACCCGCUGAACUUAA
This 298-nucleotide unclassified non-coding RNA is filed under the name uncultured Ascomycota. RNAcentral describes it as "sequence contains ITS1". The stretch from base 1 to 105 matches the Rfam family "5.8S ribosomal RNA", at positions 50 to 154 of the family's 154-position model. The record is from RNAcentral. Lineage: Eukaryota; Fungi; Ascomycota.